UGCGGUAAUUUGACCGUGCAAAGGUAGCAUAAUCAGUAGUCUUUUAAUUGAAGGCUUGAAUGAACGGUUGGAUGAGAGAAAAGCUGUCUCUUUUAUAAAUUAAAAUUUGACUUUUAAGUGAAAAGGCUUAAAUCUAAUAAAGGGACGAUAAGACCCUAUAAAACUUUAUAAGAGACUUAUUUUAUUUUUAAAUUCUUUUUAAAAAUUAUAAAAUAUUUCUUUUAUUUUGUUGGGGCGACAUUGAUAUAACCUGUAACUGUUUAAAUAAAAAUUAUAAUUAUCAUUAUUGUUUGAUCCUUCUUUGUGGAUAAAAAGAAUAAGUUACUUUAGGGAUAACAGCGUAAUUUUUUUUGAGAGUUCUUAUCGAAGAAAAUAGUUGCGACCUCGAUGUUGAAUUAA
This 399-nucleotide ribosomal RNA is filed under the name Palaemon ortmanni. RNAcentral describes it as "partial 16S ribosomal RNA". It matches the Rfam family "Bacterial large subunit ribosomal RNA", at positions 1932 to 2540 of the family's 2925-position model. The record is from RNAcentral. Lineage: Eukaryota; Metazoa; Arthropoda; Malacostraca; Decapoda; Palaemonidae.